Molecule: ribosomal RNA, 550 nt
Filed under: uncultured archaeon
Lineage: Archaea
Description: bacterial SSU rRNA
Rfam family: Archaeal small subunit ribosomal RNA
Source: RNAcentral
GAUCAGGCUGUUGGUGAGGUAAUGGCCCACCAAACCUGUAACCGGUACGGGCUCUGAGAGGAGGAGCCCGGAGAUGGGCACUGAGACAAGGGCCCAGGCCCUAUGGGGCGCAGCAGGCGCGAAACCUCUGCAAUAGGCGAAAGCUUGACAGGGUUACUCUGAGUGAUCUCCGUUAAGGAGAUCUUUUGGCACCUCUAAAAAUGGUGCAGAAUAAGGGGUGGGCAAGUCUGGUGUCAGCCGCCGCGGUAAUACCAGCACCCCGAGUGGUCGGGACGUUUAUUGGGCCUAAAGCAUCCGUAGCCGGUUCUACAAGUCUUCCGUUAAAUCCACCUGCUCAACAGAUGGGCUGCGGAAGAUACUAUAGAGCUAGGAGGCGGGAGAGGCAAGCGGUACUCGAUGGGUAGGGGUAAAAUCCGUUGAUCCAUUGAAGACCACCAGUGGCGAAGGCGGCUUGCCAGAACGCGCUCGACGGUGAGGGAUGAAAGCUGGGGGAGCAAACCGGAUUAGAUACCCGGGUAGUCCCAGCUGUAAACGAUGCAGACUCGGUGAU